RNAcentral lists this long non-coding RNA (382 nucleotides) under Mytilus galloprovincialis (Mediterranean mussel). The record is from RNAcentral. Lineage: Eukaryota; Metazoa; Mollusca; Bivalvia; Mytilida; Mytilidae.
AUGGCUUACCAGGGCCAACAGACAAACAAAAGAACACAAAAUUAAACAAAUAAACUAGACAUUAAUGCAACCGUAUAUGGUCGAAACAAGGUAGGAAUGCAAAUGUAUGAAUAAAGAUAUCAAAAAAACGAAAAAUUACAAAAAAUACUGAACUCCGAUGAAAAUUCAAAACGGGUAGUCUCUAUUCAAGUGGCAAAAUCUAAACCCCACACACAUCAAACAGAUAACAGCUAACUAAACCGCACACGUGUAUGACGGUUGCAUUAAAUUCCAUUAUAUUUUUACAACGAUGUGUGAACAAAACAGACAAAAUAUGUCAAAAUUCACAAAUAAGGCUACAGCAGUCAACAUUGUGUUAUAAUCUUAAUCACUAAAAAAACCC